Carassius gibelio (silver crucian carp) is the source of this 399-nucleotide non-coding RNA. The record is from the annotation of a RefSeq genome assembly. Lineage: Eukaryota; Metazoa; Chordata; Actinopteri; Cypriniformes; Cyprinidae.
AAGAAACCAUGCUGAACACAUUCCUUAGUGUAGCUGUAUGCAUAAUUAUAUUUUCAGCUGAAUGUCUUGGUAAUACUGUUCUCCAGAUGCCUGACAACCUCAUCAAGAAUCAAGAUGAAUCUACUGUGAUCAUCUGUACUCACAAUAUACCAAGCUAUUACAGAAUAUUAUGGUACAAACAAAGUCCAGAGAUGUUGGGUUUCAAGUUGAUGGGAUUUCUUGAAUAUGGUACUGAGAACAAAGAGCCUGAAUUUAAAGACAAGAUCAAACUGGAUGGAGAUGGACAGAAUAAUGGUUCUCUGAUUAUCAGCAACCUCUCACCGAAUGACAGUGCAGUGUAUUUCUGUGCAGCAUAUUACACAGUGCUCAGAGUCACCUCUGUCUGAUACAAAAACCUCU